RNAcentral lists this ribosomal RNA (483 nucleotides) under Triticum aestivum (bread wheat). Its description in RNAcentral is "partial small subunit ribosomal RNA". Lineage: Eukaryota; Viridiplantae; Streptophyta; Magnoliopsida; Poales; Poaceae. The record is from RNAcentral.
AUGGUGCUCGGCAUCCUGGCGGCGAGCGUGACGUACCAGUACCAGGCUGGUCUCGCACCUCCCGGCGGCACGUGGGGCGACGACGAUACCGCUUCGCCAUCGCCCUUGCCGUCCCCAUCGGCACACCCACCCACCGUCGCCGGCAACCCGAUCCUGCUUGACUUCAAUGCUGCACGGUACCAGGCCUUCUUUUACUGCAACGCAACAUCGUUCGUGGCCUCGGUCGUCGUCAUCUUGAUGCUGCUGCAUCGCACCACGAAGAAGCAGAAGCCCGGUGCGCCGCUGCGGGCGUUGCAGACCGCUGUGGUCCUGCUAGGCUGGCAGCUGCAGGGACUGGGAGACAUCUUCAUACGUCAUUGCGCUCGUCGCCGCGGUGGCCGUCUUCACCAUGAUCUACGUGUUACUGGCGUUCAACGUCGUGCGGACCAAGGCCAAGAAGUACUUUUCUGCAAAGGGGUUGAAAUACUCAGGAGCACGCAAUGA